Long non-coding RNA from Armigeres subalbatus, 992 nucleotides. RefSeq lists it as uncharacterized. Lineage: Eukaryota; Metazoa; Arthropoda; Insecta; Diptera; Culicidae. The record is from RefSeq and is a predicted model, not a curated record. The transcript is spliced from 3 exons.
AUAUUAAACAUUAGAUGCCUUUCGCCAUACUGAUUUACCAAAGUUAACUCUUAGUGUGCCGCUGUAAGCACGCUCAAAGCAGGCGAUUCAUUGAGGAUUUUUUAGAUUACGACGGGACAGCACAAAAAGGUCUGAAAAACGGGACUGUCCCGUUAAAUACGGUACGUAUGGUCAGCCUACUGGAUAGUGACGAUAUUGCUGUCGAGUUUGCCAGAGACGUACAAUCCGUUGAUUACACUGUAAACUCGGCAUUACUCAUUAAUUUGGUAAAAAUAUCCAUUAUUUUACGACAUAUGGAGCUGUCAAAAUAAUGGGUAUUUGUAAAUUUCUCAUAGUGGGUAAAUUAUGUUCAUUAUAUACUUCCGAAUAUUUACCCAUUAAUGGGUGAAAAUAUAAUUCUUGUACUUAAAACAUUCUGCAGUUGAAGUGGAAGCGGCACCGACAAUGACGUUGGAAUCGAGGUUGUAAUGAGUGAAUUAUUUGUUUUACACCUCAAGUGUCCUGCAAAUUCUUGGGCAAAUUGCUAUUUCCUGUGCCAUGAUCUACCCGGCUGCUAACGGGGCAUUUUCUGUAGCACCUUGUUCGCUGGACUCAGCACCGAUGACGCUGAAUCGAAGCAGUUCCGGCGACUGAUGGCAUGAUGGGUCUCGUUUCACAAAGGCAUCUCGGAUGGCGUCUCGAAAGGCUCCAAUAGAGCCAGCGAAUAUUUAUUCUGGCCGGAUUUGGUUGGUCCGGCCGUGACCCGGCCGAUUCGCACGGAUUUUGGCACCUCGUUUUCCCACACGGCCUGCCACCUCAGUAAAGGACAAGGAACAAAGUGUCCAUUCGCUGGAUCAGCUACAAUACAUCUUUAAUUUAAAUCGAGAAUCAUUUGAGUGGCUACAAAGUGCACUUUGCAUGCAAGAAAAUAAAAAUUGUGUUUAUUUUUUAAAUAACUCAAUAAUAAAUAAAUCUAUUCAACUAAUUCGAUUAUUUUACUUCAUUUUUAUCAA